RNAcentral lists this ribosomal RNA (492 nucleotides) under uncultured bacterium. Its description in RNAcentral is "partial 16S ribosomal RNA". It matches the Rfam family "Bacterial small subunit ribosomal RNA", at positions 29 to 507 of the family's 1533-position model. The record is from RNAcentral.
AGUGAACGCUGGCGGUAGGCCUAACACAUGCAAGUCGAACGGCAGCACAGUAAGAGCUUGCUCUUACGGGUGGCGAGUGGCGGACGGGUGAGGAAUACAUCGGAAUCUACUUUUUCGUGGGGGAUAACGUAGGGAAACUUACGCUAAUACCGCAUACGACCUACGGGAGAAAGCAGGGGAUCUUCGGACCUUGCGCGAUUGAAUGAGCCGAUGUCGGAUUAGCUAGUUGGCGGGGUAAAGGCCCACCAGGGCGACGAUCCGUAGCUGGUCUGAGAGGAUGAUCCGCCACACUGGCACUGAGACGCGGUCCAGCCUCCUACGGGAGGCAGCCGUGGGGAAUAUUGGACACUGGGCGCAAGCCUGCUCCAGCCAUCCCGCGUGGGUUAAGAAGGCCUUCUGGUUGUACAGCCCUUUUGUUGGGAAAGAAAAGCAGCAGGUUAAUACCCCGCUGUUCUGACGGUACCCAAAGAAUAAGCACCGGCUAACUUCGUG